AUUGAACGCCGGCGGCAGGCUUAACACAUGCAAGUCGAGCGGGGUGAUGGUGCUUGCACUAUCACUUAGCGGCGGACGGGUGAGUAAUGCUUAGGAAUCUGCCUAUUAGUGGGGGACAACAUCUCGAAAGGGAUGCUAAUACCGCAUACGUCCUACGGGAGAAAGCAGGGGAUCACUUGUGACCUUGCGCUAAUAGAUGAGCCUAAGUCGGAUUAGCUAGUUGGUGGGGUAAAGGCCUACCAAGGCGACGAUCUGUAGCGGGUCUGAGAGGAUGAUCCGCCACACUGGGACUGAGACACGGCCCAGACUCCUACGGGAGGCAGCAGUGGGGAAUAUUGGACAAUGGGGGGAACCCGGAUCCAGCCAUGCCGCGUGUGUGAAGAAGGCCUUAUGGUUGUAAAGCACUUUAGGCGAGGAGGAGGCUCUUUUGGUUAAUACCCAAGAUGAGUGGACGUUACUCGCAGAAUAAGCACCGGCUAACUCUGUGCCAGCCGCCGCCGUAA
Molecule: ribosomal RNA, 503 nt
Filed under: uncultured bacterium
Lineage: Bacteria
Description: partial 16S ribosomal RNA
Rfam family: Bacterial small subunit ribosomal RNA
Source: RNAcentral